AGUGAACGCUGGCGGUAGGCCUAACACAUGCAAGUCGAACGGCAGCCCAGGAAGAGCUUGCUCUUACGGGUGGCGAGUGGCGGACGGGUGAGGAAAACAUCGUAAUCUACUUUUUCGUGGGGGAUCACGUAGGGAAGCUUACGCUAGUACCGCAUACGACCUACGGGUGUAUGCGGUUGAUCUGCGGACCUUGCGCGGGUGAAGGAGCCGGCGUCGCAGUUGCUUGUUGGCGGGGUAAAGGCCCACCAAGGCGACGAUCCGUAGCCGGUCGGGGAGGAGGGUAGCCCACCUGGGAAGUGGGCCACGGACCAGACUCCUACGGGAGGCAGCAGUCGGGAAUAGUGGACAAUGGUCGCAAGCCUUAUACAGCCAUAGCGAGUCGGUGACGAAGGCCCUGCGGGUGUAAAGACCGCUUGUUGGGAAAGAACCUCAGCAGGCUAGUACGCCGCGAUUCUGACGGUACCUAAAGAAUAAGCACCGGCUAACUUCGUG
RNAcentral lists this ribosomal RNA (492 nucleotides) under uncultured bacterium. RNAcentral's name for it is "partial 16S ribosomal RNA". It matches the Rfam family "Bacterial small subunit ribosomal RNA", at positions 28 to 507 of the family's 1533-position model. The record is from RNAcentral.